Molecule: ribosomal RNA, 228 nt
Filed under: Aliivibrio fischeri SR5
Lineage: Bacteria; Pseudomonadati; Pseudomonadota; Gammaproteobacteria; Vibrionales; Vibrionaceae
Description: partial 16S ribosomal RNA
Rfam family: Bacterial small subunit ribosomal RNA
Source: RNAcentral
ACUUUAAUUGAAGAGUUUGAUCAUGGCUCAGAUUGAACGCUGGCGGCAGGCCUAACACAUGCAAGUCGAGCGGAAACGACUUAACUGAACCUUCGGGGAACGUUAAGGGCGUCGAGCGGCGGACGGGUGAGUAAUGCCUGGGAAUAUGCCUUAGUGUGGGGGAUAACUAUUGGAAACGAUAGCUAAUACCGCAUAACGUCUUCGGACCAAAGAGGGGGACCUUCGGGC